RNAcentral lists this unclassified non-coding RNA (279 nucleotides) under plant metagenome. Its description in RNAcentral is "partial contains small subunit ribosomal RNA, internal transcribed spacer 1, and 5.8S ribosomal RNA". The record is from RNAcentral.
UUUCCGUAGGUGAACCUGCGGAAGGAUCAUUAUUGUAUAAUGGAUGUGGGAGGGCUGUCGCUGAUAUGAAAGGUCGUGCACGCGUGAGUGCUCUCACAUACAUCAAUGUCACCCCUAUGUGCACCACCGCGUGGGUCUCCCUUUGACUUGUUAUGAGGGGGGCUUACGAUUUCAACUAACCACUAUGUACAGUGUAGAAUUUGCUUUUUGUUUUAGCGAUGCAGUAAGCAAUACAACUUUUAACAACGCAACUCUUGGCUAUCGAAUCGAUGAAGAACG